RNAcentral lists this ribosomal RNA (300 nucleotides) under Triticum aestivum (bread wheat). RNAcentral describes it as "partial small subunit ribosomal RNA". Lineage: Eukaryota; Viridiplantae; Streptophyta; Magnoliopsida; Poales; Poaceae. The record is from RNAcentral.
AUGAGGGGGGGUUGGGGUGGGAGGAGGAUUUGGGUUUGCGACGACGCGGAGGUUGGGAGGGGAGAAGGGUUACGUGGAGAGCGGAGACUGGGCGCUUGGCCAAUCUGGCUUGUUUUUUUCAGAGAAAUAUUCAUCACUGAUCUUGUUGCGGCUGACAGUUCUGGUUUCCUCCUCCGACGGCGUAGUCAUGCGGAGGUGUCAGUUCUGGAGUUCGAUGGCGUGUCCGGGGACACGUUGCUCGGUCUGAUUCUUUCAACGGCAAUGGUUUUGCUUCAGGCAAACUACUUUGGAGGUCCGUAA